Molecule: long non-coding RNA, 787 nt
Filed under: Ananas comosus (pineapple)
Lineage: Eukaryota; Viridiplantae; Streptophyta; Magnoliopsida; Poales; Bromeliaceae
Description: long non-coding RNA (ACOM_LNC004783)
Source: RNAcentral
UAAGCUUUACUGGGAAUAAAAUAGAGAUUAAUUCGAGUAUAAUUGCAAAUGUUAAAAGUGUUAGGAUUUGGUUAAAUUUGUAGUUAAUCCUAGUUGGAUAAGAAUUAAUAUUUAAAUCUAUUGGAGUUAAAUUAAAAUUUAAAUAUUAAUUACAGUAUGAAUCUAACUAGAUUAGAAUAAAUAUUUAAAUCUAUUGGAGAUAAAUCAAUUAAGAAAAUUAUUGGAGUAGGAAUCUUUUUUCGACUAGGAUUCGUGUACGUUUUAGAGGAUGCAUUGUAAAAGCACGUUUUGGGAUGUUUUUGGAGUAGAGAGUACAGUGAGAGAGAAUGCUUUCUUAGGUGAAACCAUACCAGGAGAGAAAGUAAUGGUUGCGUGCACUAGGUGCAUGCGUGCAUGUGAGAGAGAAAAAGAAAGAGUUGUCUUCUUUGUGGGUUUAUAGAAGACGAGAGAAGGGUAGGAGAGAUUCAAGAAAGAGGGCUCGGAUUGUAGUUACUCUAUGCAGAAGAGUAGUCAGGUGUAAUCUUAUCUUAUUUAAUGAAUCUUAUUUUAUCCGCAUAUUUUAUGUUUUGAUUUUUCUUUCUUUUGUGAUUAUAUCAACUUUUGUUGAGGAGACGGAUUUAUGAUAAAAACUCGAUUCGACAACGCCUCCGUUGCGGAAUCCCAACAAUCGGUACUGGAUCAACAACAGUCGAUAUCGGAGCGAAUUGCGGAUUCACAAAAUCCGGUACCGGGGUGAGUACCGGAUUCCCAACAAAAAGUACAAAGUUUUAAGCAAUAAACAAAUAAA